Molecule: long non-coding RNA, 1667 nt
Organism: Toxorhynchites rutilus septentrionalis
Lineage: Eukaryota; Metazoa; Arthropoda; Insecta; Diptera; Culicidae
Exons: 5
Source: RefSeq, a predicted model, not a curated record
CCUAUUCACGAUGACGACGAUUAGGUAUCGACAUCUGGAUACGGCAUUAGUUUGUAUGAGGCAAACUAUUCUCUAUCAUAUUAGUCGGCCCGAAUCAGUUUAUAUUUGCUAAAAUUUGUAUGAAAUUUUUUUCUUGGCAUAAUUUUUUCUACUUAAAGUACGUUGUCAUGACCCUAAUUUGAAUUAUUUUCUAUAGACGUUCAGAUAUUCUCAAAAAAACUUGUCAUUAUAAUAUAAAAUUAUCUCAAAACAUAUUUUUUUAUGACGUUUUUUCACCACUUGCAGGCAAUGGUGAUUUUCACUUACAUAGAGUACUAAUUUGAUUAAGGAAAAAUCAUGUUCAUUCAUAAUUUUCAUUUUAAAAGUGUAUUGAUUCCUUCUGCAAAUCCAUACUGUCAUGCCUAUUACCCAAUAUCGUCAACGCGGAUAGUUCGUUAGUCGAAAAUACUGAAUAAUUAAACAAACCAAAUGGCAUCACUGGUGGUUCUUUUUUCCACUCCGCUAAACUGUCAUCUCAAACAAAAACAAAUGGAUCAUACAACUGCUAUGAAUACAUUCGACUCGUUUGCUUCCAUCAAUCGGCAAUGGUGAUUUUCACUUACAUAGAGUACUAAUUUGAUUAAGGAAAAAUCAUGUUCAUUCAUAAUUUUCAUUUUAAAAGUGUAUUGAUUCCUUCUGCAAAUCCAUACUGUCAUGCCUAUUACCCAAUAUCGUCAACGCGGAUAGUUCGUUAGUCGAAAAUACUGAAUAAUUAAACAAACCAAAUGGCAUCACUGGUGGUUCUUUUUCCCACUCCGCUAAACUGUCAUCUCAAACAAAAACAAAUGGAUCAUACAACUGCUAUGAAUACAUUCGACUCGUUUGCUUCCAUCAAUCGGUAAGUGAGAAAGAUGAUUUCUCCCAUCAGUGCGGAUUUCCACUUCUAUCACAGCAGCCAACAACAUCCGUUUUCCUGCAGCAGUAACCUUCAACCCCUGUUGGCAAUGCCAGGGGACAGCAUCAACAGCAGCAGCAGCAGAAUUUGACCAUGGUAUGGUAUUGCGAAGAACUUUCCCCAUUAGAGGUUCCGUGCUUCGCGCACAUUCAAAAUCCUCUUCAGACACGAAAACUCAACGACAAGGAGGUAUUUAUCAACUUGCUCAGCUCAAUUACCACCCGGAGGAACCCGAAUGCACUGAUUCCGUUGUAUAGUAGAAUGAAAAUAGGCGAGGUAAGCGAACGUAAUCGCAUGAUAUUUUAAUAGUUCGCAUUUUUAUCCGGAUCAUACAACUGCUAUGAAUACAUCCGACUCAAUCAAUCGGCGAGUGAGAAAGAUGAUUUCCCUCAUCACCACAUUGCUUAUUUCCACUUCUGUCACGCCAGCCAACAGCAUCAGCUUUCCCGCAGCAGUAUCCUUUAAGUCCAGGGUGCUAUUCCGGGCAACAGCAUCAUCAGUAACAGCAGCAGGACCUGGCCAUCGAUAGUAUUUCGAGCAAUUUUCCCCAUCGGAGAUCCCAUGCUUCACGCACAUUGAAGAAACCUCCUCAGCCACAUAUGUGUGUCAAGGAGAAAAAGGAGCUGGAUUCGAAUCGUCAAUCCAGACAACCCGAAUGCACCGAUUGCAUUAUAUAUCUUGUUUAUAUUUUAUAUGCAUUUUGUGUUUUUUUGAAUAAAAUGAUUAAAAUCGA